GACGAACGCUGGCGGCGUGCUUAACACAUGCAAGUCGAACGGAAAGGCCCCUUUCGGGGUACUCGAGUGUCGAACGGGUGAGUAACACGUGCGUAACCUGCCCUUGACUUCGGGACAACUUCAAGAAACUGGGGCUAAUACUGGAUAGGAAUCCUUUCUUCAUGCGGAGGGUUGGAAAGCUUCGGCGGUUUUUGAUGUACUCGCGAGUUAUCAGCUUGUUGGUGGGGUAGUGGCUUACCAAGGCUUUGACGGGUAGCCGGACUGGGAGGGCGACCGGCCACAUUGGGACUGAGAGAAGGCCGAGACUCCUACGGGAGGCAGAAGGGCGGAAGCUUGAAGAAGGGGCGGAGGCCGGAUGAAGAAGGGCCGCGGGCGGGAUGACGGUGUUAGGGUUGAAAAACGAUUUCAGCAGGGGCGAAGCUUGUGGUGACGGUACCUGCAGAAGAAGCACCGGCUAACUACGUG
Molecule: ribosomal RNA, 465 nt
Filed under: uncultured bacterium
Lineage: Bacteria
Description: partial 16S ribosomal RNA
Rfam family: Bacterial small subunit ribosomal RNA
Source: RNAcentral